Molecule: ribosomal RNA, 253 nt
Filed under: uncultured bacterium
Lineage: Bacteria
Description: partial 16S ribosomal RNA
Rfam family: Bacterial small subunit ribosomal RNA
Source: RNAcentral
UACGGAGGGAGCUAGCGUUGUUCGGAAUUACUGGGCGUAGAGCGCGCGUAGGCGGCUUUGUAAGUUAGAGGUGAAAGCCCGGGGCUCAACCCCGGAACUGCCUUUAAAACUGCAUCGCUUGAAUCCGGGAGAGGUGAGUGGAAUUCCGAGUGUAGAGGUGAAAUUCGUAGAUAUUCGGAAGAACACCAGUGGCGAAGGCGGCUCACUGGACCGGCAUUGACGCUGAGGUGCGAAAGCGUGGGGAGCAAACAGG